GUAGGAUCCGAGCGUUGUCCGGAAUUACUGGGUGUAAAGGGCGUGUAGGUGGGUCUCUAAGUCGGUGGUGAAAUCUUGCAGCUUAACUGUAUAAUUGCCAUCGAUACUGGAGGUCUUGAGUACGGCAGAGGGAAAUAGAAUUCAUGGUGUAGCGGUGAAAUGUGUAGAUAUCAUGAAGAAUACCGGUAGCGAAGGCGGUUUCCUGGUCCGUAACUGACACUGAGGCGCGAAAGCGUGGGGAGCAAACAGGAUUAGAUACCCUGGUAGUCCACGCCUUAAACGAUGAAUACUAGGUGCUGGGCCGUAAGGUUCAGUGCCAAAGCUAACGCAUUAAGUAUUCCACCUGGGGAGUACGAUCGCAAGGUUG
This 367-nucleotide ribosomal RNA is filed under the name uncultured bacterium. Its description in RNAcentral is "bacterial SSU rRNA". It matches the Rfam family "Bacterial small subunit ribosomal RNA", at positions 527 to 896 of the family's 1533-position model. The record is from RNAcentral.